This 337-nucleotide unclassified non-coding RNA is filed under the name soil metagenome. RNAcentral's name for it is "partial contains 5.8S ribosomal RNA, internal transcribed spacer 2, and large subunit ribosomal RNA". The stretch from base 1 to 120 matches the Rfam family "5.8S ribosomal RNA", at positions 35 to 154 of the family's 154-position model. The record is from RNAcentral.
GAUGAAGAACGCAGCGAAAUGCGAUAAGUAAUGUGAAUUGCAGAAUUCAGUGAAUCAUCGAAUCUUUGAACGCACAUUGCGCCCGCCAGUAUUCUGGCGGGCAUGCCUGUCCGAGCGUCAUUUCAACCAUCAAGCCUUAGGCUUGUGUUGGAGCUCUGCGACUGUCCGCAGGCCCCUAAAUGCAGUGGCGGGCUCGCUAUCACACCGAGUGCAGUAGUUUUCUUUCUCGCUCAGGGCGUGUAGUGGGUGCUAGCCGUAAAACCCCCUUUUCUCACAAGGUUGACCUCGGAUCAGGUAGGAAUACCCGCUGAACUUAAGCAUAUCAAUAAGCGGAGGA